GAAAUUUGGUCUAAUACCCCAUAAUACCGAUAUAGGCAUCUAUGUUGGUUGAAAGCUUUGGUGGUGUCAGAUGGGCAUGCGUUGUAUUAGCUAGUUGGUGAGGUAACGGCUCACCAAGGCGACGAUACAUAGGGGGACUGAGAGGUUAACCCCCCACACUGGUACUGAGACACGGACCAGACUCCUACGGGAGGCAGCAUG
Molecule: ribosomal RNA, 201 nt
Filed under: uncultured bacterium
Lineage: Bacteria
Description: partial 16S ribosomal RNA
Rfam family: Bacterial small subunit ribosomal RNA
Source: RNAcentral